GCAGGCAUUCCUUGGCCUGGUGGCCAGAUUUCUGGCACUUGUAGCAAGCUCCUGGGGGAGGAGGUUCUGGAGGAACGCCUGGCUGCUGCAGUUCAGGCAUUUGGAAGUUCUUGUGUGCUGGAGAUGUGGCUGGGAUUCGUCUCACAGUGGAGCCGAAGGGAAUUUCCAAGAGAGAGGAUGGUGGUGCAGUGCAUAUUGCAACCCCGGAUCAGCCAGAAGUCCGUGGAUUUGGGAAAGCACAUGUAACAAUGUCGUCCAGGGUACACUGCAAGGAACACAGGCUUAGAGUCACAAGGGUCUGUGCUUGAACCCAGGUCUGUUAUUUGCUACUUAUGUCCUUGGAAAUGAUUUAAUAUUGUUAUGAUUCAAUCUCUUUAUUUCUUACAUGGAUUUAAUAACAUCUACCCCAUAGUUUAACAUUUAAAUUAGAUAAUGCAUAUGUAGUGGCUAGUGGUUAUUACAAUUAUUACUCUUCUGUUACUGCAAUCUCACAGGAAGGUAAGGACCUUGACAAGAGAUGAAGGUCUGUUAUCACAAGAAGAGCAAGAAACAAACCAGCUGACUUCCGAAGCAUUUUUUAAAGUCCAGCAUCAAACUCUCGGGAGUGUGAGCAAAAAGUGGGACUGGCAUGGGAUCAGUUUUCUGCAAGUACCCUAAUCCUGUGAGUGCCCAGGCCACUUAGAUCUCUGACCUAGUGAACAUUUAGUGCUUAAUCACCCUCAAAAUAUACUAUUUUAUCCUUGAAGUGGGAUUGUCUUGGGCUUAUGCGAUGAGCCACACUGGAGACAAAAUAGACCAGUUCUGGAUCUCUGGAGGACUAAGAGAGGUCUGUGCUUUUUACCGUAUUUAACUGAGCUCCUGAUAAGAUUGCUUUCCUGGGAUUACAGAAUGGAAACUUGAGGUAUUCAUCUGAUCUCUUUCCCCUCAGCAUGCUCAACUCCAUUAACGACUAAAGAAGCACUUUCCUAGCACAUUUAAUGGGCUUGGGCUCAUAAAGAAUCAUUCCAGGUUCUCACGAUGCCCGGCUGGCCGAGGUGUUAAAGUACAGAAAACUUUAAGUCUGGAGAGGUUUAGAAGCUCAUCUUGGCACCUCAUUUUUAAGCGGGGGCUAAUUUUACCCAGAGGCCGGCCACAAGCACGAAUUUCUUCAGAUUUGGAACUUUGGGGAGAUACUUUAUGUAAAGUGUGGCUGUUGGGUUGCUGCAGCUGUGUUUGAAAAAAGUACGGGGGGUGGGAGGGGGAGAUUGAGGCCUACAGAAGUAGGAGAUUCUGUAGUUAGUCAAGCAUCAGAACCCAGGUGUUCAGAUAUGACUAGUUUUGGCAAUGUCAGGAAGAAAGGACUGGACAGGGGAAAGGAGAUUUGCAGCUAAAAAGUUAGUGCUGAGUUUGUUGGCAAACUUGCCUCUAGAAUUUUUUUUAGAAAGUGAUUUCUAAAAUAUUAUUAUAUAAGUGAAUUAGUUUCUAUUUCUGUGUAAUACAUGAAUCCAAAACUAAGCAGUUUAAAACAACAAAGAAUGAUUAUCUCCCAGUUUCUAUGGGACUGGAAUCUGAGCAUGGCUUAGGUAGAUGCCUCUGGCUCAAGAUGUCUCACAAGACUGCAAUUAAGAAGUCAGCAGGGGCUGUGGUCUCAUCUGAAGGCUCACCUUGGGAAGGACCUACUUGCAACCUCAUCCAUGUGGUUCUUGGCAAGAUUCAGUUCCUCGUGGGCUAUUGGACUAAGGGUCUCAUUGCCUUGCUGGCUGUUGUCCAGGGGACCCUACAGUUCUUUGUCAUGGAGGCCUCUUCACAGGGCAGCUUGCAACAUGGCAGUGGGCUUCCCUCAAAGCAAGUGAGAAGGCAAGAGAGAGUGCACAGCCUUUUUAUAUACUAAUAUCAAAAGUGACAUCCCAUCAACUCUACUGCAUUCUAUUCUCUAGAAGCAAGUCACUAAAUCAGCCCCCACUCAAGGGGAGGGAGGGUUACAAAGGCAUGCAUACCAGGAGGAGGGGAUCACUGGGGCCAUCUUGUAGACUGCCUACUGGACAUUUGUUUUGGGUAGAAAAUCAGGAAAACUCUGAAAUACUACACUUCAUAGGCAACUUUACCAUGAAGAUCUUAACUAAUUACACACCUUCUUGUGCCUUUUUUCUAUACACAUAUGUAUUUUUUAAAAGAUUUCAAACUAUAUAUACUAUGAUUGCCUGCACUGUUAACUCAGAAAUAUUUCAUGUAUUGGUGUCAAUAAACCUUGUUCUACUAUAUCACUUUUAACGGCUUAUUUCAUCAUGUAUUUCAUCAUAUGAACUUAUUCCACAAAUGACUCAGCCACCCUUGCUCCAGCUCUGCAUUUAAUUUUGUCAAAUUAAUGUCACAAUCAUGAAAAAUUGUGCCAGGCAUUUAAUGUGCUAAAGUGCAGCAAAUCUCAGCAAGCUCUGUGCCUUCUGGCCUGUCCCUGGGGCUCAGCCUGUAGGUCUCUAACAUGAGAGGUUCGAAUAGAUGGCCACUAAGGUCCCUUUAGAGACCAGAAAGCCUGUCCCCUGGGAGUGGUGAUUCCUCAGAGAUGCUACCCAACCCACUGGGGCCAGGAGUUUAGCAGCUGUCUAGGAUGCCUUUGUUGAUUUUGAGACCUCUGAAUCCUUCUAUGUCUGUGUAAAUAUAUACAACUUGCUUGAAUGUAUUUA
Molecule: long non-coding RNA, 2660 nt
Filed under: Homo sapiens (human)
Lineage: Eukaryota; Metazoa; Chordata; Mammalia; Primates; Hominidae
Description: HSALNT0251701
Source: RNAcentral